This is a long non-coding RNA of Ornithodoros turicata, 495 nucleotides long. RefSeq lists it as uncharacterized. The record is from RefSeq and is a predicted model, not a curated record. Lineage: Eukaryota; Metazoa; Arthropoda; Arachnida; Ixodida; Argasidae. The transcript has 4 exons.
GGACACUUCAACUGCUUUGAGGAGUGCUAUCUCGGCUUCGAGAAUGUUGGCGUCAUACGUGAACGCCACUGACAGGAAUCAGGUUCGGGAUAGCGACUUCAGUGAGUGUUGAAUUCGCGGAGGGCGAUGAGAUAAUGCAUACGGCGACAGUACCCGUCUUGCAACCUCACCGCCAGGAACGCUCGAAGGAUUCAACCUCCUUGCUGUCCACGCCCUGCGAAUACUGGGUUCGUGUGUGAAGGGUUCCGAAGCAAUAAAGAACAUGUUUGUGCAUUAUGAUACACCUGUGCCGGUGACACCGUGCAUCAUGUUCACUGGGAGAAGCAUUCAAGAAGCGGAGCAUAUGGACCUCUAUGUCGGCGAGUAGCGCCUUCUCAGAACCAUCGACCUUGACGAGGGCUUGGCUGCUAUUCUUGCAGCUAUUGGUUAUUUCAUAUUGUCUACAGUUCAAAGCCGCACCGUACAUCUUGAAGCCUGGAAGAGCGGUGCCUGAAA